This 468-nucleotide ribosomal RNA is filed under the name uncultured bacterium. Its description in RNAcentral is "partial 16S ribosomal RNA". It matches the Rfam family "Bacterial small subunit ribosomal RNA", at positions 28 to 507 of the family's 1533-position model. The record is from RNAcentral.
GACGAACGCUGGCGGCGUGCUUAACACAUGCAAGUCGAACGGAAAGGCCCUGCUUUUGUGGGGUGCUCGAGUGGCGAACGGGUGAGUAACACGUGAGUAACUUGCCCUUGACUUUGGGAUAACUUCAGGAAACUGGGGCUAAUACCGGAUAGGAGCUCCUGCUGCAUGGUGGGGGUUGGAAAGUUUCGGCGGUUGGGGAUGGACUGGCGGCUUAUCAGCUUGUUGGUGGGGUAGUGGCUUACCAAGGCUUUGACGGGUAGCCGGCCUGAGAGGGUGACCGGCCACAUUGGGCCUGAGGUACGGCCCAGACUCCUACGGGAGGCAGCGGUGGGGAAUAUUGCACAAUGGGCGGAAGCCUGAUGAAGCAACGCCGCGAGCGGGAAGACGGCCUUCGGGCUGUAAACCGCUUUCGCCUGUGACGAAGCGUGAGUGACGGUAAUGGGUAAAGAAGCACCGGCUAACUACGUG